UACAGAGGGGGCAAGCGUUGUUCGGAAUUACUGGGCGUAAAGGGCGCGUAGGCGGCCCGCUAAGUCGAACGUGAAAUCCCUGGGCUCAACCCAGGAACUGCGUCCGAUACUGCCCGACUAGAGGCAGGUAGGGGAGAUCGGAAUUCCUGGUGUAGCGGUGAAAUGCGCAGAUAUCAGGAGGAACACCGGUGGCGAAGGCGGAUCUCUGGGCCUUACCUGACGCUCAGGCGCGAAAGCUAGGGGAGCGAACAGG
RNAcentral lists this ribosomal RNA (253 nucleotides) under uncultured bacterium. Its description in RNAcentral is "partial 16S ribosomal RNA". It matches the Rfam family "Bacterial small subunit ribosomal RNA", at positions 524 to 776 of the family's 1533-position model. The record is from RNAcentral.